RNAcentral lists this ribosomal RNA (623 nucleotides) under uncultured bacterium. RNAcentral describes it as "bacterial SSU rRNA". It matches the Rfam family "Bacterial small subunit ribosomal RNA", at positions 100 to 712 of the family's 1533-position model. The record is from RNAcentral.
GAACGGGUGAGUAAUAUAUCGGAACGUGCCCUAGAGUGGGGGAUAACGUAGCGAAAGUUACGCUAAUACCGCAUACGAUCUACGGAUGAAAGUGGGGGAUCGCAAGACCUCAUGCUCGUGGAGCGGCGAUAUCUGAUUAGCUAGUUGGUGGGGUAAAAGCCUACCAAGGCGACGAUCAGUAGCUGGUCUGAGAGGACGACCAGCCACACUGGGACUGAGACACGGCCCAGACUCCUACGGGGGGCAGCAGUGGGGAAUUUUGGACAAUGGGCGCAAGCCUGAUCCAGCAAUGCCGCGUGUGUGAAGAAGGCCUUCGGGUUGUAAAGCUCUUUUGUCAGGGAAGAAACGGUGGUUUCUAAUACAGAUCACUAAUGACGGUACCUGAAGAAUAAGCACCGGCUAACUACGUGCCAGCAGCCGCGGUAAUACGUAGGGUGCAAGCGUUAAUCGGAAUUACUGGGCGUAAAGGGUGCGUAGGCGGUUUGGCAAGUCUUAUGUGAAAUCUUCGGGCUCAACCCGAAGCCUGCAUAAGAAACUGCCGGGCUUGAGUAUGGGAGAGGUGAGUGGAAUUUCCGGUGUAGGCGGUGAAAUGGCGUUAGAAUUAUCCGGGAAGGGAACACCCU